UGUCUGUAUGUAUGUGUCUGUGUGUGUCUCUGUAUUUAUGUGUGUCUCUGUAUGUAUGUGUCUGUAGGAUACAGACACAUACAUACAGAGUCACACAGAGACACAUACAUACAGACA
Molecule: non-coding RNA, 117 nt
Organism: Pelobates cultripes (western spadefoot toad)
Lineage: Eukaryota; Metazoa; Chordata; Amphibia; Anura; Pelobatidae
Source: the annotation of a GenBank genome assembly